Molecule: long non-coding RNA, 17084 nt
Organism: Haemorhous mexicanus (house finch)
Lineage: Eukaryota; Metazoa; Chordata; Aves; Passeriformes; Fringillidae
Exons: 2
Source: RefSeq, a predicted model, not a curated record
GGUGGCCGCCGCCAUGUUGAUGGCGUGGGACGCUUAGCUGUGGAGGAGCGGUCGGGGAGCCGGGUUAAGAUGUCGGAAAGGGGGGAAGGGAGGGAGUCCUAUCUUGGUUUAAGGGGAAAGGAAGAGCUCGUGCGAGCGGUUGACAAAGAAGGGGGAGGCUGAGGAAUAGCCGGAGGAGCGCGGCGGGGAGGGGAGGGGUGCCCUGAAGGACACGGCCGAUUGUCACUCGGUGACUGCGGGCUCUGGCUGAGGCAGCGCCUCUCUGUGGUGGGAGCGGGGCCGUGGGGUGGGAGUCUGUCCCUUGGCGUGGAGGUGCCCGCACGGCUGCGGUGGGUGCGUGGCAGGAGCGGCGGCGUGGCGGUGAAGCGGCGGCCGGUCCCGGCUGCCGGGGCGUGCGGGCGGUGCUGUCGCGGGCGGGGAGGCCGCUCUGUGUGGCCCAGGAGCCGCGGCGAGCACGGUGGCUCUUGGGGCUGUGCCCCCCGCGCCUUCCGGGGAGAGGGGCCCCUGUACCGGCCACGGUGCUUGGCCCUUGGACCCAAGUACGGACUGUGGGUUAAAGAGCAGGGCUGGCCUUGGUCGGGCGGCUGCCCGCCGGGAGCAGGUUGGAACGUGCCCUUGUCACACGGCAGGUGACAGCCUGCGCUUCCCUGGUUUGAGAGGGUUUUUAAGGGUUCUGGCUCUGUCCGAUGCCUGAUAAUUGCACUAAUGGUGUGUAGUUGUCAGAGACAUACGGCUUGGUGUGACCAGCAGGAGGAGCUUUGCUUCCUUUAAAGUCCUUAGUAUGUCUGGAAGAGGGUAGGUUUAGAUUAAAGGCAAAAAUUCUUUACUGUAAGGGUGGUGAGGCACCAUCACAGGUUGCCUGGAGAAGCUGUUCAUGCCCCAUCCCUGGAAGUGUUCCAGGCCAGGCUGGAUGGGAUAUUGGGCAGCCUUAUUUACUGGAAGGUGUCCCCCUGCCCCGUGGCAGGAGAGGGUUACAACCAGAUGGUCUUUGACGUCACUUCCAACCCAAAUGUAUAAUUCAGUGUCCAUAGACAUGUAAAUUAAGUUUGAAAAAGCUGAGAGGGCAAAUGAGAUGGUGUAAGACAUCUCAGAAUUGUAUGGAAGCCAAGCUGACUUGUUUCUCCACUGUUUGUCUGUGCUUGCUGUCUCACAUUGGCAUGGCUUAGCCAGCUGACUAGGUGCUUGGUUUCAGCCUUCUGGCUGACUUGCAAGAGGUAGGCUGGAAUUUUGAGCAGUGCUUUUAGACUUUCUUGUAGUGAGCAUUGUCCCUGCUUGUGCUGCUCUUUUGUGCUGGGGAAUGGGAAAUACGUGUUCACCAAAUGAGAGAGUCAUCAAAGCUCUGUGAGCAUUAAGGGGACUGGAGUUCCCUGAAACUGGGUGUGGAAGGCCUGUGCUCGAAACAGGAAGGGAAGAUGGUCAAAGUGUUGCAUGGCUUGUGAAAUAAUACCAUUUCUAGUUACAGCUGAUUCCUGUGAAAUAAAGCACUUCAUUUUACCAAGAGGAUACUUAAUUGGAAAGAGUCCUGAAGAGUUUUGCAGGCUUGCUUGAAAUCUUGGCUAAAUUCCAGUGGUGGUACAGCUCAGGUAAAAUGGAGUCACAAGGGUUUAUUCCAUCCUUUGGCUCCUCCUGGAGGUAAGUACAAGGCAUUUGCUCAGGGUAUUGCUGCCCAAUAACACACAGGUGGUGUGUUUGCCCCAGGAUACACAAGUGCUGGAGGAAGGAUGUUGUGAGAUGUUCUAUGGUGCAGAUACUUCUCCUGAACAUUGUGGCCUUUCAAGAUUUGCUGGUACUACAGCAAUGUAUGCUAUGCUUUUAUCACUUUAGGUGCAGCUCCCUCUAGUUAAGAAAGCUUAACCAGUUGCGUGCCAUCCUGCAAAAGGUCCAGUCUUUUAAGAGUGCUUCUCACUGGAGAACAGGUUCUCCUGUUUUAUCAUACUCCUCACUGAAGAAAAGGAGUGGUGGGAGUGUAAUGCUCUUUUAAUAAAAUUUGUAGCAUCAAUAGUUCUAAAUAUCUGGGGAAUUCUGAAUUACAAGUACAGCCCUUUUUAUUUCUUAUUCUGUUUCUCCUCUAUGCAGAUACCUUUUGAUUAGGUGAGCUGUGGGUGAAAUAAAGGGCACUGGCACUUUGAUGACUUCUGUCACAGCUGUUGUCCACUGUAGACUUUAGGCCUAUGCUUUUAUCUCUGCAGCUGAUACCUGCAAAAAGAAGAGUGCUCCAAGAGCAGUCAAGAGCCAAAAUAGGAUGGACAUGUUCUUCAGCUGAAACAUGGCAGCAGUUCAAUAGCAGUUACACAGCAGGAAAGGGUGUGCAGGCUGCUGCAAGUCCCUGUGUUCUUAAAGAUCUGGUAUCUGAAAGAGCUCAGUAGAGAGAAAGGUGGUUGCUUCCACAGCUUCGAACUCACUCAGUUCAUUUAAGCAAACUCAUUUGAAAAGAGCUUGCCUAAUACUGAAACAGGAAAUUGAUUUUAUUGUAGAUACUGGGGAAGAUAACCACAAUAUGCAGAAUUUAAAAGUGCUAGUCAGGACACUGAAAAACUGCAAGUAGCUGAAGGACAGGAGGCUCCAAGACUCCAGUUGUGGGAAUUUCCCUUUUGGAAUGCACACUAGCAGUGGGGAGAACUUGCUAAACACAAGGAGAAUCAAAAGUUCUGCAGCUGUUAGCUACACAUGGAUAUGUCUCUUAAGAUGGGAUGGCCUGACAUGACCACUAAAGACCAUAAGGCUGUAGGCAGACUGCAUUUCUCUUAAAAGGAUAUAUGCCACUACCCAGUUCAGAACCACCAAACAGCUUCAGUUUUUGUCGAACACUCCUAGUUCCUCUAACAGUAGCUUUUCUUGGUCACCCUAACUCCUGCAGAGCCAGCUGGCUGAUUGUAGCUGUGCACUGAAGAUAAGCCUUCCUCACCCCUGGAUUGCUGGAUAAUGGCACACAAACAUGGUUCAUAUGGACUUGGGGCUGCUCAUAAAUCCUUUGGUUGCCACUGUUCUGGCUAUAAUAUGUAUAAUGGGUGCCCUGAACACUUCCAUGUGGAACAAGAAACACUUGGAGUGCCUGUUUAGAUGUACUUUCUGUAUGCACUGCCCUCUUCAGCGCAAAGCUUGAUAAAAUCCUGUAUUGGAUAAAGUAGGUAGAGGUAUACCAGAGGUUAUGGUUGGUGUGGACCUGACUCAGUUACCACUAAUGUGGGGAAGGUCUAUUUUUGUUGUGGAGUGGUAAACCAGAGUUGGUAACUGAUACUAUUUAGCUGAUGGGCUUGUCUGUGCCAGGAGAGCAGUCCAUGAGCUGACAAACAUCCAAGCAUGCAUAGUACUAGCUUUUACGCCUUUCAACAUAAAAAAAAAUUUAAAAAAAAAAAGGUGGGAGGGCAGAGAGCAGAGAAUUUUUACGGGCCAGAUAAAUUCUGAAAUUAAAAGCUCACUAAGAAUAUCUUCAUUGAAAGAAUGCAUUUUGGGAAAUUACCUCCUUUGUCAAGGGCAAUAUGAGCCUUUAGUUAUGGCAAGUGUCCAGCACUGUUCCUUGGCCCUUUCUUUUGUGAGGUUGUAGGGGAAGAGUGGUGGAUGAAAGGAGAGUGAAAGCCAUAACCAGAGGUUAACAUGUAAUUUUAGCAGCUAUGUUUAUGUGAAGUGAUGCACCGUUAUUAAUUUUCAAAGCAAGUCCCGCAUCUAAAUUGAUGGAAUCCCUGAUCAUGCGUGCAAGUGUCUUUGGGUUCUUCAGCUAUUUGAGUGCAAUGGUGCAAAAUUACAUGUUGCUUCCUAUAUGAUUCAGCUUAAAAUACAAGCUUGGGCAGUGAGUACCUAAACAACAGUAUUGUAGUCAGAGCAUUCCUCAGUGCACAGAAACCAUUUCCUUUUGGGUAAGUAAUGCUGCACUGUGAAAAAGUAUGCAGCUCCUAGGACAGCAUCAUUUGAUUGUGUUGCCUGUGCUACAAUUCCCUGGGUUUGCUCUCUUCCUUGCCCUGGAAUCUUUACCCAAACUUCUAGUAUUUCUGUAUGUUACCACUGGUUUGCUCUUCCUUUUUUGGGUGUGUUUUUUUUACUGUUUAUUUGCAAAUGUCUCUUCCUGGAAAACUGGCAGUGACAGUAAGUAUCUCAGGUUCCUAGCCAAGUUUCCACUCACAUGGUUUCACUUGCUCCAUUCUGUCAAGUUAUUUACAUGUGGUGUCCUAAGGGUGUAAUUUAGUGGAUUGCUAGUGAGGAGCUAACCUACAUGUGUUAGCUGCAGUCCACAUAAGUUACACAAACCUGCUUCCUCAUGAAUUUAGUGGCUACUCUUGCAGCCCUUGGUUUCCUCAUGCACAACUUUAUGAAAAAGAUAAUGUUACACUGCUCUUGCAGAGAUUUAAAGUUGGUCACGCUAGCGUUGCUCACUUUACCUGCUGAGUUGCAGGACCCAGAAUGAUUUCUGAGCCGUGUUCUGCAUGCACAACACCUUCUCACAAGGUGAGAAGGGUAUGUUCUUCAUGUCUUAACAGGUCUGAUGUGCCACAAUACAGGGAAGAUAGCUUAGAGAUGUGUAGUUGAUCACUUGAGCAACCUUGCUCAAGGUAGUUUUAAUCCUCGUGUUCUGGUUUCAUGUGUAUCAGCAUUGUUUUGUUUCUAGUAGAGCCUCUUUGGGCAUGCAUUCCCGGGUGGUGUAAUUACUUGAAUUCCCUGCUUUUGAGCUCUUGAAAAAUGCAGUUUCAUGAAGCAGAGGCAGCGGUGGCAUUGGUAGUUGGAGAAGUUUCGUGUUACCUUCUGCCCUUGCCUUCCCAUGCUGCAGUAUGCCAUUCCCUUUCAAGCUAAUGCAACUACCUGGAGCAGCAUAUGGAGCUAUCAGUGUCUUAAUCAGGGUGUUAACACACACUCCCUGCCCUGGGUAUGCUUUUCUGUGGGUCGUUGCAGAUGUCUGGAGGAGGAGGUUUGUAGUUCUGUGGCUUUCUAGAACUUGAAUUAGGUUUGUGAAUUGAUUUAGAGCGUUUUCAACAUGGCACAAAAACCAGGUGGCUGGGUCUGUGCCAGAAGUCCAGAGUUGUUGCCUUGUUGGUGAAGUCUCUUGACUCAUUAAAUUAUGCAUCUAAGAAUGCUGUUAAUUUUGUGGGGGAGGAGCAGCAAGUAUCCCUUGUGCACAUGGGUGCUUUUGUUAACCAUGUUUUUCUGUGUUAGGUGUCAUGACACAGCCGUUUUGUGGGUAGCCUGACCAGGCAGCCACCCUGCUGUCUGUAAGCAGCCCUAGAGAUUGUUCAGUGUACUCCAGACAAGUCCUUGUGCAAACAGCUGGAGUAAGAUGUGGAACACUUUUCUCCUAAGUCUGGGGAUUUUUUUAUUACUGAGACUACCAGUAUAUUUUCCUUUGAUGGAACUAAUUCUUACAUAUAGGGAGUUGUAUAUUAACUACCCCUGCACACAUUGCCAAAUACAAUUGUAUAUUCAGUGGCAGAGCAGAUCAGCAAAAGAGAGAAUUGGGUACUAAAAUGUUGCACAUAUGAUAGGUAAAAAGCUAAUCCUUAUUGUCAUUUUUGCAGUGCUCCUGCUUCCACUGAAGGCUGCUCUGCUGUGAGCUCUUACUAUGUAAUUAUGAUUUCCUUUCCCCGUUCUGAUAAUGGUGAAUGUUGCCCUCUGACAAGGACAAUGAGGUAACAGCUGUUUCAGAGAGACCUGCAGUGGCUUCACUGUACAUGCUCUGCCUCAGUGGAUGUCAGCUGAGACAGUAAUUGUAUCCCCCAAGAGUUAGACUUGCUGCUAUUAACCUUUCUGGAGAAACAAACAUAAAGUAGAGGCACGUGCAAUCCUCACAUGAGCUGGCAGCCAGGUGGGUGCUGUGUGCCACCAGGGAUGACAGGCAGUCACACUUCACUAACUCACAGCAGUGAGGUGCAUUUGGUCUCCUGAAAAUUCUUGCCCACUGAAAGCUUUCAUCUCUAGGGUAGAUUGUGACUGGAGGAUCUGCAUUCCCAUGCUACCUCCUGGAAACAAGAGGGUGAUGAAAUGGAGCUUAUUUUAGUAGGUCCAAAGAGAAUAAAUGAAUGUUAUUCAUUAUAAAUAUUUAUGCAAUAAUUCAUAAGUAUUUUUAUAGUGUAAAUUGUUUCUAAGUACAUAUCUGGAAAUCUAGGCAUGUAUGUAUAUAAAAUGUAUGUAUUUAAAUACAUUUGUAUACAUUGUUUUAUAUAUUAUUUAUAAUCCAACACUUAUUAAAAUACAAAUUAGUAAGUUGGGAGAAUCGUGGAAAAGGAGAGGAGCUUUGUGUUGACAAACUUGUAGGAUGGAGAAGCUAUUCCUUCUUGAGAACAAAUAGAACACAAAUGUCUGGUCCACAGCAAAUACAGUUGGCAUGAAUUGUUUUGUUAAAACUGUUCACAACUGUCUUUUAAACUCUUAACCUUGAGAGGGUUGAUUAACCUUGUCGUGAGUACUGAGGCAUGUGACAUGCUUGGCCAUGAAAGCAAGGAUGUGAGGGGUCUCACAAGUUUCUGUCAACACUUCAGUGAUGUUGCUCUCUGGGAUGGGUGGCGUUGCUGCCAUUCAUUCUGAGUGACACUGCAGCCUCAUUCACACGGGUUUGAUGGUACCUCAGGUAUCCCAGCCUUUUGCUAUAUUCGGUUCUCUGUUGCCUGAAGUUCAGUCUAGGUACAAAUCACAUCAGCCAAGAUCUUGCUUUUGGAAAUAUGUCUGCCUCACUCAUUCUGUCUGGUAUGAGUGACUCUUCUUCUUUGGUACUGUUGAUUUACCAUCAUUUCUCCCAAAGGAAACAUGCGUUCUGAACUUUCCUGUGCUCUGGCAGUGCUUUAAAUGUGCAACCUCCAGGUAAUGUUCACCUCCAUGGAUGUAAGGGAAUAGCUAUCCCAGUCUUUCCUGAAUUUACUGCUCAGCAGUCAGUGACUUAGCAGGAAAAACAAGGCAUUAUUUUGCUUAUGUCCACCAUCCACAAAUGGCGUUUGGUUUUCAUCACCAUUUUGCUUCUAGCUAAUGUGUCUGCCAACAUACAGGUUUUCCAAACUCCUUUUUUUACUUUCUUUUUCUACAAUUUCCUUGUCAUCCAUCAGUAGCACAUUGCACUCAGUAAUAAAUUUUAGCUGUGAGGAAAUGGUGAUUCUGGUGGCUGCAGAAUUCCACCUAUAGCAUCCCAUCAUUAUAAAGAAAAAAGUAAGUUUGGAGGAAGGAGCCCUCUUUGAAUCUGGAUAGGGAAAGAGAUGUCAUAGCACUUAAAAAGUAGACAAACAGUGUUCGUCAUGUGCCAAGUUUCAUGUAUUUAACCUUUGCAUUUUAAAAGUUUAAAGUUGUGCAUUCUAUUUCCUAAACUGAUGAUGCCUGAGGAAAACCAGAUCUCUGUAGCCAGUUGCUUCAAAUACCUCUUAAUACAGAAGUGGUGUUUUGCAGAUGCCCAGGAAGAUGCAGACCCAUGGUAUUGCUGGGAACCAGCCUGUCACAGCUAAAAUACAAUAGUGCAAAAACCUGUCAGCAGGCUGAGCAAACCCAGGCCUUCAUACAUAUCUCUACAGUGUUUUGUGUGAAAGCUAUUAUCCCUUGGAAAACUUGCUGACAUAUUUUAACAAGGAGAAUCAAAGACCUAGGAGUACCUCUGUAGGGUUCCCCUAAUUUGUAGUGCAUUCAUAAUCACAGUCAACUACUGCUCUCUCUUUAGUAAAGAUUAUAUUGGAAGCUAUCCAUACAUAAAGAACUCCUUGAUACAGUUUUAACUAUUCAUCCAUUUGCAUAUAGCCUGGUCUUGACAUCAGCAGGUAUGUUCACAUUUCUGAGUCCAAAAUUCAAGGUAGCUUUGUGUUAUUUCUUUAGAAAACAGUAGAAGUCAUAAAAGAAGGCCUAAUUUUCAAAACAGAAACAUUACAUUUGUAUUUUAUUUAAAAUCAUGCAGGUGGUUGUGCAAGUCGGUACAGGGUUUGUUCACGCAGGGUUUGUGGUUUCCUAGCCCACCUCUUUUGCCUGCAGAGCAGCAAAGAGAGCACGGUUUGUGCAAUCAUAAAUCCUGUUCAUCUCUCCUGGCAAACUCCUAGGGACGCAGCUGUAAGAUGAAACCCGGGCUGGAUGCGGCUGUAAGGGGAGAAAGGGAAUAGCAGCUUCCCCUUGCAGAGCCCAGGGCACCCUGUAAGGCAGACGGGCACAGAGAGGGCCCUACCUCGGUUCCUCCCAGCUCCCCUCGGGUCACACUGCUCAAGUCUUUAGGGUAGCUGAAUGCUACGUGGUGCUGCAAAAUGCACGUCGGGGCGUUGAUCUCUGCUGGCUCUGGAAGUGAAGAGGCCGCUGUAGCCGCCCUAGCUGCUGGCCUCCUGUACCGGUGGGUAUCCGCCAGCAGAGGGUGGCUCUAAGACCGUUCAUGUAUUGCUGUAGUGUUUAAACACUCUACAGCGUGAAUAGUGAGUUUGAUGGCCUCAGUGCUUCCUUUAGUGGCUAAUACUUCAUCUUUAGUUAGUAAUUACAAGAAAGAAGUAUCUAGCAAAGGUUUUUGUUUCAGCUUUCCCUCGCUGAUUUGUUUUUGGCUUUUCUCCUCUGGCAUUGUUCUUCCAGGUGAGAAUAACCAAAUAUAGUUAAGUUUAGGAAGACAGGUUUGAAAUACUGGUUUUGAUUGGAAACUACUUCUGCCCAGGAUCAAGGUAUUUGAAAUAAAUAAUUGCAUAAGUUGUCAGUUCUCUAGCAUGUAUUAGGGAUUGAAACAUAAGACACUAAUAUUGAAAGGAAGUAAUUUGACUGAACUUCAGACACCCAACAGAUGCCCAGUGUGUGCUUGGGCUUUCCUUGCACUCUGUGGAGAGCACUGUACACAUCCCAAGAUUGGUUUCACCACCUCUUACCCUAAUUCAAGAUUUCAGUGUAGAGAACACAGGCCAGCAGGAAACUGAGCCCAAACAGCACUUGUGUGUGUAUAAUUAUUCUCACAUGGAGUCCCACUAUGUGCGACAGUUAAUGACUAAAUGGCUAAUUAUGUGAGUAGUUUAUGUAGGAAUGGGCUCAGUUCUCGUGUCUGUGUUGCAGGGAGACUAAUUUGUCUCUUGAGAUGUUUGUUCAUUGACCACAGAGGAAGCAGAGGUUAGACUAGCUCAAAGUGAGAUAUCUGACCUCCACAUCUAGCUGAGAUACAGCUCAGCCACUGUGCCUGCAGGCUGCUGCUGCUAGCGUCAGGUAAUACUCUGCUUCAUCUUUGAAGGCCUGCACACACUGAGUAGAUUUUGUAGAUCUGAUUUCACAUCUAAGGGAAUAAAGUGUAACGAUUCAUGUAAUUAGUAGACAGUCAUUAACUUCUCUAAAAUCAGUGGAAUUCCACAUGGGACCAUGUGUGCGUGAAUAUGUAGUUCAGGCUGUUGUUGAACUGGAGACCUGUUGAGAAGCUUUAAAAAAAAAAAGGUGGUAGUAGUAAAUGAUGAUGGAAAAUGUUUAAUGUUCUAAUAUACAGUGAUUUAUAUUCUGAAUUAGAUGCUCUGUUCAGAAUUUUCCUACAUAUAUUUAAGUAAUUUUAAAAGGUUUGAACUAAAAUUCAAACAUUUCUCGAUUUCAAUUUAUUUACCGCUCAAAAAGUAUUUUCAAAGUGGAAUUCUUGUCUAAAGUUCUUAAAUUAAAAAACCCAAACACCUGAGUACCAGCAGUUUUGAACAAUUGCAGAAGUAUAGCACAGAUGCAGCCUUAGUAUUUACUAGAGUAGGUAAAAUUCCUCUCUGUUUGUAGAAAUAGAGCAACUUAGGGACCAAUUCAAGCAAAAAAAUUGAAGAGGCAUCUUCAAAAAGGCUACAAACAGCAGAUGACCUCCGGCUUUCUCUUCCACAGAAGACAGGCAAUACCCAAUGUGCAUAGGAUUCACGUCCUCCUUCCUGCCUGAUUGGCAGGUAUCAAGCCUUUUGAGCCUAUUUCCAAAAGCAUGUCCCAUAGUGCACAAAGCGUUUGAUGUAUGUAAAUAUAGAGACAUGCCACAACAAUGAUUAAGGGAUUAGAGGAAAAGGGUCAGGAGGAUAAGAGAAGAUUAUUGCAGACACAAGGGUGUGUUCAUGACACCGGCAUACACUGUGGUUCUUCUGGAAGUUUCCAGUCUACACCAGACUAAUCAGAGCUUUCUGCAGAAUGUAAGCAUGCACAGCACUUGUACUCUGCUUGAGGUUAAGAUGGAAAAUCCUGUGUGUGAUUCCUUGCUGUAAUGACCUGUUUGUAUACAGAUGGGCUUUCAAGUUAUGGAAAUGACCCAUGACUUAUGAAAUAGCCUCUUCCUGUUUGCAAUGAUGCUGUGAAAUAUUGAGUCAUCUCUAACCCUUGAGCCUUCCCUGUACAAGCUCUUUGUUGUUUGCGACCUGUCCCCUGGGAUUUGGAUUGAUGAUACUGGACAACUGUUUUCACUUGAACUGGUCCCAGUUUUACCAGUUUUGGAUUAAUUACUGCUCUUUCCUAGGGAAAAGGUUUGAUCCACAUCACUGCUGAUUUGAAUUAUAAUAACUUACUGAAAAAUUACCUGUGUAUAGUUAGGUUUAAGUUAGAAUUUUUGAUUUGGGGGAUUAAUUACUUGUAUUUACUGUAUGUACCUACUGUAUGUACCUGUCCUCCCACAGUGUAAUGAGUCCAGGGGUCCACAGAGUUCUGGAUUCAGAUGGAAAGUACAUACUGUAAUGCUCCACAAGAUUAUAUUUCACUGCCUUUUGGAGAGAGGCCCUAAUGCCAGUGAAAUCUCAGCAAUAUGACAUCUGACCCUUCAAGGGAUGAAAUAGAUUAGGUGCCUGAAAACAUAACACAAAAUCUUUAGUGAGGUAUUUCGUUGGGUGUUUUUAUCCUUUCUCUACAGAAUAUAGCAAAGGCUUAGGUAGUGCAGGUUGGAUGGCCCUAACUUAGAAUGGUUAAGGUUAGUUUAACUUUGACAUAACGUCUUGGCUGAAGAGCUGCAUUUCCAGUGGCUGUGUAGACUGCUGGGUGUGCUGCCAAAUAGUUGGAGAUUGCAGUGAUGUUGUUGUUAAUUUGUUUCUGCCAGAGAAACAUUCCUGUUCAUCUCUAGGACAGUGUCAUAAGUCACUGUCUCAGCUUGAAAAGACAGGUGUCUGCCAAGGAAGGCAGGAGCCUCCCUUGAAAUGGAAAAUGUAAAUCCCCUCCCUCUGAAUUAUUAAAAUUUUGAAAUUAAGGGGCUCUCAGGCAAAGAUCCAGGAAUAGGAACACAGUUCUUUACUAGGAAAAUUAAAAUAAAAAUGCAGUAAUUUAAAAAAAAAAAAAACAAAACACCAAAACCUGACUACUGACACCCUGUUGGUUAGGGUGUUGGUAGCAGUCUGAUUGAAUGGUGGCUGCAGUCCUCCUUGGAGUGACAAAUGUGGUUCUCUUGAAGCAGUAAUCCUGCAGAAGGGUGCAGUUCUCCUCUGAAGGUCCAGUGGUGGUGCAGACAGGUCUGGUCUUCCUCUGGGAAUCCAGUGGGUAAAGGUUAAACCACCUGGUUUUAACAGCUAGCCCAUUAACAGAAAAUAACUGUCCCACCUGCUUUUAACAGCAGGUAACAGAAUACAUGUAGUUACAUCAUGCAUUUCAACCUAGGACUGUCACUUAUUGAUCCUGCCCAUUGCUGGACCCAGUGUGAACUCAAGCAUAAUGUAUGUGCCAGUUUAAAGCCACUGUGCCUUCCUAGAAGCAGCUCAUUUUAGCUGUUAUCCUACAAAGAAGGAGAGAAGGUGGAACAAACCAAAUUACAUUGGUAGGGUAAAAGAGCCAACAGUUUUCCAGGUUUGAAAUGCAAUGCCUUUAGAAAUUCACAACUGACAGUUGCUUCAUCAAGGCACAGAAUUUUGCAAAGCCUUUGAUAAAUUAAAUGCAACAUGAGGCAUUUUCUUGUGAAUCAUUUUUUAUGGCUAUUCUUGGUUUUUCCAGUGGGAUCUUACUUUCUUAGAGCAGAGAUUUGUCACCAGUUAAUUGAUUUGUCUGAACUCUCUGCCAAAAUCAACAAGGAAGGAAUUGACAGGACGGACUUUAGAAACGGAGAAGUUGUGACAUGUUUGAAGAGAAUGCAUGCUCAGAGGAGGGUCUGCUUCUUCUUCAAAAAGCAGUUUCCUAUCAGCAAAACAAGCUCUACUCUUUCCUGCAUGUAUCUUGUCUCUGCCUUGCAGCAAUGCUAUGGGGGUGCUUCAUCUUUUGAGAAGCAAAGGGAAAGAGAUUUACUAAAGAACAACCUUGCACAUGCUAUUGCAACUCCAGCCAUUCUAUUGAGUUGAGCUAAGGCAAGCAUUAAAGCAAGCUGAAACUCUAAGGAUUAGAAGUCUUCACAGUAAUUACAGGGUCUGUUUUUCUACUGGCAUGCUGCAGCUUCUAUGACAAAGAAGUACAUAUUGGUACAACAGUACAGAAAAAUACCACCCUGCUGCCUGGUCAUGGGUGUUGUGGGGCAGACAUGUCAAUCUCCUGGGAGAAAUCAACAGUGCAAAACUUGUGUGGUGCAAACUGCCAUAUUUUAAUACUGAAAGAUCAAACUUCAAGCAGCGGAAAAUGUGAGGCAGUGCCCAGAGCAGUUUUAUCUUUCAGAAAUGUAAGUAAACACAAGUAGCCAGGAGUUAAAGAACUAACUUAAAACAGAAAUUAUGCCACUUCUUUCUCCAUUCUUCUCCUCACCCUUCCCUGAAACACUACAACCAAAACCAACAGCACACCAUGUAGUCCCAAGCCUCAAUAUUUACUCACACAUGAAGAACAUGCAAAGCUUUUUAAAAUCCUCUUGACAACUUGUACAAGAAAACUGUUUAGCUAUGAGUGGAAUGUCCUCUUACAAAAUGCCAAACAGCCUUGUGUUUUUAGGCCAAAAGCUAACAAGUUGAACUGUGAGCUCUUAUAACUUGUUCUGUUCAUCCACAGUAAGAAUCUGGAGUGCUUUAAAAAUGUUGAGAGCAUGACAGUGAUUGACAAGAAAAGAAGGAAUGUAAGGACAUGCUGUACUUUAAAAAAUUUUAAUUACUUUUGUAAAACAAAAUUGAUAGUGAUGGUGGUCCUGCAUUUGCAGUUUGAAGCAGGAGCCAGGGCUGUUUUCUCACCAUGACCCUUACACACUGCCUUGCACCCUUAUGUAGGAACACCAAAUUUGAUAAAUCCCAGAGUAACUUUAAGGAGAGAUAUCCUAAGAAAUUAAACAGCUGCUUGAACUAUUCAUGUUUUAACUUUUUCUCAGUAAAGGCAUGUCUUAAUUUUAGUGUGUGCAGUGCAUGCAUGAGGCUCUUUCCAUCAUUUUUACUGGAUGUGUGCAGUGAUGGAUCUCCAAGCAUAUAGGUUUGGUUCCAGUUCAGUGUGGGCACAUGACCAUGUUGUCAUUGAAUUAAGUAUGUCUGGUAUGGAGUUGAUACGAGUUUUUAACAGUUGGUAGCUGAUAUCUAAUCUCACAUGAAGUGACAAUGGCACAGAGAGAGCAGUAGUUUUAAUCACAUUGUGUCAGUAAGAAAUCAGCAAAAUUUUAGAGUAAUUUUAACUGACAGUGUGAGUGAAAGCUGGAUCCUUGGGUAGCAGGUUAUGGUAUAUCUGGUCCAAUGCCAAGAGCCCUAAUGUUGGAUUUAUUGUGUCAUUAAGUCAUGGCCAGAGAGGAGGAGGGUGAACUGUUUCUCUUACAGGUGCUGAAAAAGGAAAGCACCGCCACUGGUACAUUUUUCUCAGUGAAAAAGCCGGUGCUAUGGGAAAACUGCUGUUGGAGAUGAUUCAACCAUCAUCUGUCUGCAUGUUAAAUCUUCAAAAUACUCUGUAACUGCAUAGAGAUGGCAAAACCAAUGUGAAACUGCUAACAUGUUAAAGCAGGGAGAUUUAAGGAUGUGUUGCAAGCAUUUGUAUAACUACACUUCUUGAACUGAGCUCAGGUACAGUUGUUGUCUGCUUGGAUCAUUUAACUGGCCAAAGACCAAAAUAUACCCUUAAUAUUCCACAGACACCUAUGGCCAGUAAUGACAGGGUCCUCCAGGGACUUGUUAAUUGUGUCAAUAAAAUAUUAGCUAAAUAGUAGCUGAGUUUUUCUGGUUAAAAGAAAACUAGACCUUCAUUAUAUUCCAAGAUAAGCUUAAAAACCUUACUUUUUUCAUUUUGUGACCUGGUUAUCCUGGUUAUGGUGACUGGACAAUUCAGAUCCGCUAAUUUAUUGACUUCACUGAAAACACAGCCUAAAUCGUCUAAAAUAUAGAUCAUUGCUUUGUUUGUCAUCAUUCUGCUGAAAUUUUAAGUAAAGUAGGUAAAUGUGCUUUGUCAGAUUCAAGCAUACGUGGGACGUGAAAUGUGUUUACUUCAUCAGCUCUCAAGCUGGGUCACAGUCUGAGGGCAUACAGCUCUGCGGUGAAAUCACCAGCCUCUUGCACCUAUCUCCACAGUGACUGCCUACAUGCCUUCUAUUACACAGGCUCUACAUCCCCAAUCAAGUGGCCACAAGAGAUUGCUAUCUUGCAAUACUGACAAUGUGGGUGUUUAUACAGAGUAUAAACAUGCAUGUGCACUGUGCAUGCACUAACAUGCCUUCAUUUACCCGCAUAAGUCAACACAAGACACAAAACUGACAGAUGUCUUUGCCUCUAGUGAGCUCCUACCUGGACACACAGCUGGUUUGGAACAGAACAAAGCAGGCAGUUACAGGGCAUCUAACCCAACUGAUGCAGGGCAAAGCAGCCACAGCCUUGGGCCUCCUUCUGCAGCUUGCAGGGGGUACCUGCUCUCUUUCUGUUCACUGACUAUUGUGUUCCCUGGAACAUGGUGUGUAACAAAACAUACAGAUUGUUGUUUUGGCACCAGGGAAGAUGCUGCCUCUGUCUUGGAUGCUGCAGCUGUGGUUGGAACCCUGGAAAGGGAACAAGAUGCUUUUCUUUGGUGCUGUUAAGCAUGAUCAGUUGAGUGAACCACUUUUAGGAUAGGAUGGACAGAGAAAAGUGUUUGGAAGAACCUAAACUAACAAGGGGUUAAUUUAGAAACUUUCUGUUUCUGUUCUGCCUAACUUGAAGAGUUCUCUUUUGUUGUUGUUGGGGUUUUGUAAAAAGUAUUCCUUUGUGUUUAACAAAAUCUUAUUUCUGAAGUUAAGAGCUUUGUGUUUUGGGAUGUAUGUUUCAUCUUUCAGGUAGAGAUCUCAAAGACCUGCUGACUCCACCAGACUGCUAAUAUAAUUAUAAAUGUUUAUUACCUCCAAAAGGAGGAGGUGCCUGCUUUAAGGUGUCUUGCAGGAUUAUAAUGUGAAUUCCUUAGUUCAUUGCAAGAGAUGCUGUUCCUCUGCCCCAUGCUUAGUGGAUUUGCACUUGGUAGAUUUGCCUGUGUACAUGACAAGAGCCAAUUGCCAAACAUAAAGAUUUGAAUGUAAACUCAUUGCUAAACUUUGGCCUGGAAGCAUCAAGUUGUUCUUCUGAGCAUUUGCACGUACAAAAGGUGAGUACAGAGGUAAAGAGCAAUAAAAGGGCAAGGCAAAAGAGAAGGACUCAUAAAGCACCUCAGCAGAGCUACCCUGUUUGCCUGUAUCAAUGAGUCUGAGUUUUGCCCUUUUAAAUGCUUGUGCCUUUGCACACUUUGCACCAUGAGGCCAUUUAUAACAGAUGCAGAGCUUGAACAAAGCAUAUUUGCAGCUCCUCUACCUAUUUAUGAGCUGGUGUGUACACUUUGCAGUGUUUCACAUAGUGUGAGUGAAGCAAAUAGGUACUUUUAUAUUUCCUUAUUCCUGAUGGAAGCAGCAAGGGGGAAAGGGCAAAAGGAGAAGCCAGAAUUUCUGCUAUCAGGAAGAAAAUUGAGAUAGAGAAAUCCUAAGAUUUUAUCUGAGCAACCUAGUAAUGUGUCUGCUUGCUAAUGAGUUCUGCUGUAAAUCACUAGCUUGUCAGUAUGUAUAUAUUCUGCUUAUUUGCUGUAUUUACUUAGGGCCUCGAUAAUUCAAAUCUGCAAAUUUAUUGACUUAACUGAAAUUGCAGCCUAAAUCAUAUAAAAUGUGGGGUAAAUACAUGUAUGGAUUAUUGUGGGAUGGUUUUAUUAUGGGGCUAGACUGUGUCUCCAGACAGAAACACAUAACUUUUACCUAUGUUUAAAAAUAUGCCCAGAUACCCAAGCACGGUAUUGUCACAUAUAAACCCAGCUCAAAGCAAUAACUGGCUGUGACAAGGCCAGAAACCCAUCCCAAUUCUAUUUCACCUGGCACAUCUCCAAAUGCUGAUUCUCAUGGUAUAUCCCAAUAUACCAGCUGCUCCCAGUACAAAGACAACAGUUUGUUAGUUCAUUAUGGAUUGUUUAUGAUUGACAAUAUUUACUGUAUGUACAUUUUGAAGAAACACAGUGCUGUAAACAAACAGGGAUAUUAGGCAGCUGUAUGUUCCUAUACCAUGCAAAUAAACUGUAGUUGGAGCUUUUAUCCUGCUAGCAACUCAGGCAAACAGAUUGUAAGGACAGUUGGGAAUUAGCCAGGACUUUUAUGAUGGUUGUGAAGAAGUACAUUGUAAGUACUUCUGUAAUUAUUCCAUCUAGGUCAGCCAGUGACUUGUCCUACUGUACAGAGUCCUCAAAAUGGCUGCACUUAGUUUGGCAUUUACUGAGGGACAGGCAAGGGCUUUAGGCAUGGCCAGUAUGGCAAGAAGUCAUCAUGCUCAUAUCACUUUUGUCUUGCAGUCCUGGGGAAUGGGCUGGCAGGCACAGCUCAGCUGCAGGGUCCCUCCUUCAAGGCCAAAAUUUCUGUCCUCUCCAUGUCCCCCACACCAAUGUGCCACCAUUGCACUGAUGUGAUUGAUGAGUAGGGUCUACUCACACCUUUGAUGAGAGAAGUGCUGAUUUGUGUGAACCUUGUGUGGGACCCCUUGGGCAGGGUCUGCAGGGAUGCUGUGACUUCAGCCCCAUCCCACCUACUGCCAACCACUUUUCACUUCCUCAAAACCUUUGCAGCACAGCCAAGGGAGCUUUCCUUUUCAGUAUACUGAAGUGAUUACUCUGCUCACUCAGGAUGGUUUUCCAAGAACUGUGGCUGCUGGCAUCUGUAUGCAACUACAAAGCUCUGGGGAUCUUCUGGAGAUGGAUUCAGGCAGGGUAUUCCAGCUUAGAAGUUUCAGUUGCUCAAAAGCAGCAUGAAAUAUGUAUAAUCAUUAUGUCCUUCUGUUUAUUCUGACCCUGUACAAGAUGAAGCUAUGUGUCAUAUGCUUAAUAUUAAAUGGACUGAACAGGUUUCUCUUUAA